Molecule: ribosomal RNA, 584 nt
Filed under: Aspergillus oryzae
Lineage: Eukaryota; Fungi; Ascomycota; Eurotiomycetes; Eurotiales; Aspergillaceae
Description: eukaryotic LSU rRNA
Rfam family: 5.8S ribosomal RNA (bases 209-362)
Source: RNAcentral
UAGGUGAACCUGCGGAAGGAUCAUUACCGAGUGUAGGGUUCCUAGCGAGCCCAACCUCCCACCCGUGUUUACUGUACCUUAGUUGCUUCGGCGGGCCCGCCAUUCGUGGCCGCCGGGGGCUCUCAGCCCCGGGCCCGCGCCCGCCGGAGACACCACGAACUCUGUCUGAUCUAGUGAAGUCUGAGUUGAUUGUAUCGCAAUCAGUUAAAACUUUCAACAAUGGAUCUCUUGGUUCCGGCAUCGAUGAAGAACGCAGCGAAAUGCGAUAACUAGUGUGAAUUGCAGAAUUCCGUGAAUCAUCGAGUCUUUGAACGCACAUUGCGCCCCCUGGUAUUCCGGGGGGCAUGCCUGUCCGAGCGUCAUUGCUGCCCAUCAAGCACGGCUUGUGUGUUGGGUCGUCGUCCCCUCUCCGGGGGGGACGGGCCCCAAAGGCAGCGGCGGCACCGCGUCCGAUCCUCGAGCGUAUGGGGCUUGUCACCCGCUCUGUAGGCCCGGCCGGCGCUUGCCGAACGCAAAUCAAUCUUUUCCAGGUUGACCUCGGAUCAGGUAGGGAUACCCGCUGAACUUAAGCAUAUCAAUAAGCG